RNAcentral lists this ribosomal RNA (255 nucleotides) under uncultured bacterium. RNAcentral describes it as "partial 16S ribosomal RNA". It matches the Rfam family "Bacterial small subunit ribosomal RNA", at positions 331 to 585 of the family's 1533-position model. The record is from RNAcentral.
CUUCACCUACGGGACGCAGCAGUGAGGAAUAUUGGUCAAUGGGCGAGAGCCUGAACCAGCCAAGUCGCGUGAGGGAAGACGGUCCUAUGGAUUGUAAACCUCUUUUGCCGGGGAGAAAAAAGCGGUACGUGUACCGAAUCGAGAGUACCAGGAGAAAAAGCAUCGGCUAACUCCGUGCCAGCAGCCGCGGUAAUACGGAGGAUGCGAGCGUUAUCCGGAUUUAUUGGGUUUAAAGGGUGCGAAGGCGGCGAGUUA